GUUCGCGAGUCGCGAUGGCCACCGCCAUCUCCACCUCGACGGCCGCCGCCUCUACGCCAGAGAAAGGGAGAUGGCGGAGAGCCCUAGAUCCUCCCCGCGGCGGCAGGCAGCGGCUCCCAAAGACGGCGCUGGCCUGCUCAGCCCGCGGUUCCGGUUGGCCGCCGCGCUGGCAGGGUGGGACGAGGAGUCCGUCCUCCUCGCGACGCUCGUCGUCGAGGACAACCCCGUCCUGGAGUCCCGCCGCAAGACCUGGUCCUCCACCUCCGCCGGUGGAAGCACCGGAUCCAGCACGAGGUGCUCCUCCGCUCGAUGCUCGCCUGUCCAAAGAAGCCAAGGCAGCUGCCGUGUACUCCUCUGACUUGAAGCGUGCUGCCCAGACUGCAUAGGCGAUCGCAGCAGCUUGCGAUGUAUCCAAAGUUGUGUUUGAUCAGGCGCUAAUAGAAAGGCACAUAGGAGAUCUCCACGGUCUGAAGUUUGAUGAUGCUGUCAGAAGCAAGCCUGAAGCUUACACGGCUUUCUCAUCUGUCAACAGGAACCAAGAAAUCCCUGCCUCUAAAUAGCAGCUAGGUGCAGCCGUGCAUCAAAGACCCAACAGACAUGGAUAAUACUCAGUAAUUGUUGUCUACCGCGCUAAAUGCAGCUGGUCCAUCAAUUGCUUCUGUUGUGAUCAAUGAGUCCAAACUUUGCAAUAGUUUUAGAGAUGAUUUGGAAAACCGACAAAGAAUUCUGAAGACAAGUACUUGGAGUACCGGUUAAAUGCUCCGGUUCAAAGUGGAGAGAGGUGAUCAGGACUUUGAAAUCGCUGGUAUAUGAUAUUGAGGAUAUUAAUAAUUAAUACUACCAUUUGAAGGGAAGUUCAAAAAAACAAGAAUUUCCUUCAAAAGGUUUCAUCAUUGUUCUCUAUGUCAAAUCGUAUUCUUUCAAUGUUUAAUCUGAUUAGAUAGAUGAAUUCUGUUGGAGAUGAGCUGAGGAGGGUACAGGAUCUCCUUCUAUGUGUUGACACAUUGAUGAAUUCUAUGCCCAAGCAGAUCAAUCUAUGUUCAAAUACAAGUGGUGCAGUCGUUGGAAGGGUUGAGGAUUUUCACAAGAUCAUGGCCAUAUUGAUGCUAAAGAAUUCUGAAGAGAUUUAUAUUGUAGCUAUAGUUGCUCCCGUUGGUUUCAGCAAGACUAGCCUUGUGAGACUGCUUUAUUGUGCCGUAGGACAGAAAAGGAAUUCCAAUUAAGAAUUUGGAUUGACUUGUCUAUAUGCACAGUCGACCUUGAAUUAUUUUUGCAAGAGAUUGUGUCAAAUCCAUGCAAGCAGAUUGAUGAUAACUUGCAAUUGAAGAAUGUUGUCAAAAGCAUACUUAGUGAUCAAGAUUGCUUGAUUGCAUUAGAUGGCCUGCAGGGUGUGGAUCAAAGAAUAGCCGAGCUUAAGGAUAUGUUGAUGACAGAUCGAGAUACACAAAGCAAUAUUGUAGUGACCACUCACAGUGAAACGGUCGCUAACAUGAUUGCCAUAAUAAAUCCAUAUAGGCUGCCUGCUUUAUCUGCUGACGACUGCUGUAAAAUUGUUCUGAAUACCAUAAUAUGUCUUGAUGAUGAUGGACUAUUUAUGGAAAAUCGAGCAGAAUUUAUUGGAUCAGUGCUAAGUACAGGACCAAAGUUUCCUGAAAUCUGGCAGCUUGCUAAAGAUGAAGAGAUAUGGAAGGUUGAGGACGAUUUCUCCAAUGUGCCACCAUUGUUGCAGUCCUAUAGAUUGAUCUAUUAUAAAAUGCCACAAAAUCUAAGGUUGUACUUCCUAGGGCAUUAGGCAUCAAAAGACAAUCUCACUUGACAAUGGUUGGCACUUGAACUGAUUUAGACUGACCAUAACACCUUGCCUUUCGAAGUUACUGUAGACCGAUAUGUUGAGGAGAUGA
Molecule: long non-coding RNA, 1901 nt
Organism: Phragmites australis (common reed)
Lineage: Eukaryota; Viridiplantae; Streptophyta; Magnoliopsida; Poales; Poaceae
Exons: 4
Source: RefSeq, a predicted model, not a curated record